ACUCCGAAACUGCAUUCGAUACUGCCGUGCUUGAGGACUGGAGAGGAGACUGGAAUUUACGGUGUAGCGGUGAAAUGCGUAGAUAUCGUAAGGAAGACCAGUGGCGAAGGCGGGUCUCUGGACAGUUCCUGACGCUGAGGCACGAAGGCCAGGGGAGCAAACGGGAUUAGAUACCCCGGUAGUCCUGGCAGUAAACGGUGCACGUUUGGUGUGGGAGGAUUCGACCCCUUCUGCGCCGGAGCUAACGCGUUAAACGUGCCGCCUGGGGAGUACGGUCGCAAGAUUAAAACUCAAAGAAAUUGACGGGGGCCCGCACAAGCGGUGGAGUAUGUGGCUCAAUUCGAUGCAACGCGAAGAACCUUACCAGGCCUUGACAUGCAUCUCUAAGCUGGUGAAAGCCAGUGAGUCCCG
Molecule: ribosomal RNA, 411 nt
Filed under: uncultured bacterium
Lineage: Bacteria
Description: bacterial SSU rRNA
Rfam family: Bacterial small subunit ribosomal RNA
Source: RNAcentral